ACAUUGUGAAUGACUUAUUCUCUAACUAAAUUACAAGCUCUAUUUAUAGAGCAAUAAACCAAAGAAACCCUAAUGCGUAUAUGCCAAAAAUACCCUACUACAAAAUCAAAUCAAAUCUCUAAUUAAUUUCCUAAAUAAACCUAAUAAAUUCCAACACCCCCCGUCAAACUCAUGGCGGUACACGACAUGAGUUUGCCAACAAGCAGAUGUGGAUGCAAGCCUCCAAAUUCCGAUGCCGAUGCCGAUGCCGAUUUCCGAUGCCAAUUUCAAUACGAAAUUCCAUCGGUGCAAGUGCAAGAUUCCAAUGCCAGUGCAAGAUUUCCAUGCCAGUGCAAGAUUCCAAUGCCAGUACCAGUGCAAAUGUCGAUGCCGAUGCCUAACAAACAAACAAAAAAUCCAACCAAAUAUUUUUUUUCUUCCUUCUUUCUUCCGUGCGAACCAACAUCACCAGCCUCCUUUUUUUUUUUUUCGCGAGGGUACGGUUGUGGACGGAUCCAGAUGCAGGGUGGGGCUGGGGAAUGCAGAAAUCCUAGUGCGAUGGAUUCACCAAAUUCCUUUUUUCAAAAAACAGAAUUUUUUUCCCUUUCUUGAAGACUACCAAGGACAAACUGAAAAUCAAACCAGAAAACGUAAAAAAUCUACGGACAAGACUAACACAAUUUGACGAUCAAUACCGAAAUCCAAAGACAAAGAACAUAAACAGAAAUCCAAAGACAAAACGAACAAAAACAGAGUGACCAAGAACAAAGGACACAGACCAAAGCGGAAGCGAAAGCCUAAACGAGACCCAAACUAAACCAAAAAACAAAAAGCGACAAAACAAAUUGAUACCAACAAGAACGGAUUGAACCAUAAGGAUCGAACCCGCUCUGAUACCAAGUUAAAUAUCAGAGUGCGCAACGAAUAAGACUAACAAAAUAAGAAUAUUAUUAAACAAACGAGAAUGCCAAAACGGCUACAAAACCCUAAGAGACUACAUUGUGAAUGACUUAUUCUCUAACUAAAUUACAAGCUCUAUUUAUAGAGCAAUAAACCAAAGAAACCCUAAUGCGUAUAUGCCAAAAAUACCCUACUACAAAAUCAAAUCAAAUCUCUAAUUAAUUUCCUAAAUAAACCUAAUAAAUUCCAACAGGGUGCAUUUUAGCAACAACUUGAAAUGGAGAAUUGGCCACGUCUCAGAGAUAGAAAAACGAAUAUUUCAUUUUCUAGUUUAAAUUGAGACAUACCAUUGCAUAUUGUUAAGAGUUUUAUAUAUAUACAUACAUACAUACAUAUAUAUAUAUAUAUCACUGUAAAGUUGAGAAAAAUUUGUAUACAUUCAGUUGUUGAUUACAUCCAAUGCAUAUAUUUGUAUACACCUCUUGAGCUUGAAAGUGUACUUAUGUAAGAUCAAGUCACAUGCAUAGGCAUGCAUGUGAUGGAAACCUAUUCUCUAGCAUUAACAAUGAAAAGAUUUUUAGUCUACCAAUCCUUUAGCUCAUAAAAUAUUUUAAUCUGCCAAUGCUUUAGCUCAUAAAUUUAUUGGUUUAGUUUCAUAAAUAAUGUGUACUUAUUGGUUCAGUUUCAUAAAUAGUGUAUAGGAAUUAAUACAUUUUCAUAAAUAGUGCCUAGUUCUUGAUCUAAUUUUAUAAACAGUGUACAUUAAUUGGUAGAGUUUCAUAAAUAGUAUCUCUUUAUUGGUCCAGUUCCAUAAAUAUAGUAUUCACCUAUUUGUUCGGUUUUAGAAAUAGUGCCUAAUUUUUUGUUUGGUUUAAUAAAUAGUGUAUACUUGUUGAUCUAGUUUCAUAAAUAGUGUUUACCUAUCGGUCCAGUUUCAUAAAUAUUGCCUAAUUCUUGGUUCAGUUUCAUAAGUAAUGCUUAGUUCUUGGUUCAGUUUCAUAAAUAGUGUUUCUUUCUUAGUCUAGUUUCAUAAAUAGUUUCCACCUAUUGGUUUUAUUUUAGAAAUAGUGUCCCAUUUUUUUAUGUGGUUUCAUAAAUAUUGUCUACUUAUUGGUCUAGUUUCAUAAUUAGUGUCUCCUUAUUGGUUUAGUUUCAUAAAUAGUACCUAGUUCUUGGUCCACUUUUAUUUAUGCCUAGUUCUUGGUCCACUUCAUAAAUAGUGGCUUAGUGCUUGGUCCAAUUUCAUAAAUAGUGUAUAGCAAUUGGUACAGUUUCAUAGAUAAUGUCUCUUUCUUGGUCUAGUUUCAUAAGUAGUAUCUCUUUCUUGGUCUAGUUUUAUAAAUAGUUUCCACUUAUUGGUUUAGUUUUAGAAAUAGUGUCAUUCUUGAUUUGGUUUCAUAAAUAGUUUUCACCUAUUGGUUUAGUUUUAGAAAUAGUGUCUCAUUCUUGAUUUGGUUUCAUAAAUAGUGUCUACUUGUUGGUCUAGUUUCAUAAAUAGUGUCUUCUUAUUUUAAGGAGGAUUAGAAUGACAUACUUUGAUAAAAACAAUAUACGAUCAAUAAUAGUACCAUUUGACAACUUGACAACAUAAGCGACAUCCUACUAGUAUACAUAUUGCCCAGAUUUUACUUAAUUCAUUCUUUUAAAUAUGGCUAAAAUAACAAAGACUUGUAACUCAGUUGAUUAAAAGCAUUCACAUUUACUCUCGGAAUCUCGAGUUCGUCCCUCAAUAUCUAUAGUAAAAAGAUAAGGUAAAAGUUAUAAUUCAUACAUGAUUGUGUUUACUAUUUGCUAUAAUUAUACAAGAGAUUUAUGUCUUUGUGAUUGUAAGGUGAUGUCAGCUCUGGCUCUCAGGAGAUUUUCCAAGGCAACGGAUUCUUUAGAUGACAAAAAACUUGAAGAGGUAACAUGGACUCCAUCCAUGUUAAUUUUCACAAACAGACCCUUUCUGUUGGUUUCGUUUACCAUUAGGAGCUUUGUUUUGGACAACAUUUUCAGAAGAGCUUUUGUUGCUUGCGAGAUUCUUCCUAAAUGAUUGAAUUUUAGGCCAACCCACAUCUGGAGCAGGAGCACUUCUG
RNAcentral lists this long non-coding RNA (2957 nucleotides) under Malus domestica (apple). Its description in RNAcentral is "long non-coding RNA (MDOM_LNC015724)". The record is from RNAcentral. Lineage: Eukaryota; Viridiplantae; Streptophyta; Magnoliopsida; Rosales; Rosaceae.